GGGUUGUGAGGUUAAGCGACUAAGCGUACACGGUGGAUGCCCUGGCAGUCAGAGGCGAUGAAGGACGUGCUAAUCUGCGAAAAGCGUCGGUAAGGUGAUAUGAACCGUUACAGCCGGCGAUGUCCGAAUGGGGAAACCCAGUGCAAUUCGUUGCACUAUCGUUAACUGAAUACAUAGGUUAACGAGGCGAACCGGGGGAACUGAAACAUCUAAGUACCCCGAGGAAAAGAAAUCAACCGAGAUUCCCCCAGUAGCGGCGAGCGAACGGGGAGCAGCCCAGAGUCUGAAUCAGCUUGUGUGUUAGUGGAACGGUCUGGAAAGUCCGACGGUACAGGGUGAUAGUCCCGUACACCAAAAUGCACAGGUUGUGAACUCGAAGAGUAGGGCGGGACACGUGGUAUCCUGUCUGAAUAUGGGGGGACCAUCCUCCAAGGCUAAAUACUCCUGACUGACCGAUAGUGAACCAGUACCGUGAGGGAAAGGCGAAAAGAACCCCGGCGAGGGGAGUGAAAAAGAACCUGAAACCGUGUACGUACAAGCAGUGGGAGCACCUUCGGGUGUGACUGCGUACCUUUUGUAUAAUGGGUCAGCGACUUAUAUUCUGUAGCAAGGUUAACCGUAUAGGGGAGCCGCAGGGAAACCGAGUCUUAACUGGGCGUUAAGUUGCAGGGUAUAGACCCGAAACCCGGUGAUCUAGCCAUGGGCAGGUUGAAGGUUGGGUAACACUAACUGGAGGACCGAACCGACUAAUGUUGAAAAAUUAGCGGAUGACUUGUGGCUGGGGGUGAAAGGCCAAUCAAACCGGGAGAUAGCUGGUUCUCCCCGAAAGCUAUUUAGGUAGCGCCUCGUGAACUCAUCUUCGGGGGUAGAGCACUGUUUCGGCUAGGGGGUCAUCC
RNAcentral lists this ribosomal RNA (896 nucleotides) under Klebsiella pneumoniae subsp. pneumoniae. Its description in RNAcentral is "bacterial LSU rRNA". It matches the Rfam family "Bacterial large subunit ribosomal RNA", at positions 1 to 932 of the family's 2925-position model. The record is from RNAcentral. Lineage: Bacteria; Pseudomonadati; Pseudomonadota; Gammaproteobacteria; Enterobacterales; Enterobacteriaceae.